This 772-nucleotide ribosomal RNA is filed under the name uncultured Neocallimastigales. RNAcentral's name for it is "partial large subunit ribosomal RNA". It matches the Rfam family "Eukaryotic large subunit ribosomal RNA", at positions 22 to 631 of the family's 3401-position model. The record is from RNAcentral. Lineage: Eukaryota; Fungi; Neocallimastigomycota; Neocallimastigomycetes; Neocallimastigales.
CUAUACAUGACUCUGCGCAUAUCAAUAAGCGGAGGAAAAGAAACUAACAAGGAUUCCCUCAGUAACGGCGAGUGAAGCGGGAAGAGCUCAAAUUUGAAAUCUUGAAAGGUCACCUUUCACGAAUUGUAGUUUAAAGAAGUGUUUUCUGUUACGAUCGUAAUAUAAGUUCUUUGGAAUAGGACAUCACAGAGGGUGAGAAUCCCGUCUAUGAUUGCGAUUUGUAGCUUUGUGAUACACUUUCAAAGAGUCGGGUUGUUUGGGAAUGCAGCCCAAAACGGGAGGUAAAUUUCUUCUAAGGCUAAAUAUUGGCGAGAGACCGAUAGCGAACAAGUACCGUGAGGGAAAGAUGAAAAGAACUUUGAAAAGAGAGUUAAAUAGUACGUGGAAUUGUUAAAAGGGAAGCGUUUAACACCAGUGUUGUUUUCCUGAAAAUCAACCUCUGUUAGCUUUAUGCAUGUUUGUUUAGACCUAAUCAGCUAUCUUGCAUGUUCUAUUGUUUGCAGUGGUGCACUUUUCAGUUUACAGGUCAACAUCAGUUUUUUUUACCGUAAAAAAGUUAAAGAAAGGUAGCUCAUGGCUCCGGUCGUGAGUGUUAUAGUCUUUUUCCUAUGCGGUAGGAGAGACUGAGGUCUGCAGUGUAGGCUAUUUGGCUAGAUACUCAGGUGCUAUGUGAUACCAUUUCAUAAACAACUUGUUGAUUAUGUUUUGUCUAUUGCAUACUCGCUUGUACUAUCAUACCUACGCUUAGGAUGUUGAGUCGUAGAGCACGCAG